UUGGUUUUGUUUUUUUAAAGGGCAUGCCUGGAGACUACUCCACCUACAUAAAAGAAAGUCAGCAGGAGCCGAACAGUAACGGCAGCUGGUUAUUUACUUCAUUCUGAAAACGUUUGCUGCAAUGUUAGCUAAAAGUGGUUUGACGUGACACAGCAAUAAUUCUUCAUCACACAGAAGUCAGUUCCAUCUUUUUUCAGGCUAGUUUGUUUGCUGAGCAGGAGGCUAUGCUGACUUAGAGCGUUGCCUGUGAAGAGACUCACAGGAUCUCUCAGGAAUGCGGGGGAGAAACUGCCAGACCUAGAAGUGACAGAACACAGAUGAGCAGUUGGAUAUGGGGCAAUCACCCCAUGAUUAUGAGGUGACUGCAGGUGUUCCCUGGUACUCCGGACACGCACACUGCUCCAUUUGAUUCUCACUGUGAAGUCCUGCAUCUGCUCCUUCCUACACGAGACCUGGGACUCAAAACUACAUCACUGUCUGAAGCCAAACAUCUGGCAAGAGAUGGCUCAGGUUGGACCCAGGACCUCUCUUCAGAGCCAGCACCCUGGUGUAACUCAACACACUAAAGUGUAUCUUAUCACAUAAAUUACAAU
Long non-coding RNA from Mus musculus (house mouse), 593 nucleotides. RefSeq annotates it as predicted gene, 31042. The transcript has 3 exons. The record is from RefSeq and is a predicted model, not a curated record. NCBI's taxonomy places the organism in Eukaryota, Metazoa, Chordata, Mammalia, Rodentia, Muridae.